CCGAGUUAUACAACUCAUCAACCCCUGUGAACAUACCUAUACUGUUGCCUCGGCGGAUCACGCCCGUACACGGCCCCCGCCAGAGGACCCCCUAACUCUGUUUCUAUAAUGUUUCUUCUGAGUAAACAAGCAAAUAAAUUA
This 141-nucleotide unclassified non-coding RNA is filed under the name soil metagenome. Its description in RNAcentral is "partial internal transcribed spacer 1". The record is from RNAcentral.